This 1475-nucleotide ribosomal RNA is filed under the name Acinetobacter baumannii. RNAcentral's name for it is "partial 23S ribosomal RNA". It matches the Rfam family "Bacterial large subunit ribosomal RNA", at positions 1480 to 2925 of the family's 2925-position model. Lineage: Bacteria; Pseudomonadati; Pseudomonadota; Gammaproteobacteria; Moraxellales; Moraxellaceae. The record is from RNAcentral.
GGCUAAAUCAGCCUGGCGUUGGUUGUCCAGGUGAAAGGAUGUAGGCAUGUAUCUUAGGCAAAUCCGGGGUACUCUAUGCUGAGAUCUGAUAGCAAGCUGUACUUGUACAGCGAAGUGGUUGAUGCCAUGCUUCCAGGAAAAGUCUCUAAGCUUCAGUUACACAGGAAUCGUACCCGAAACCGACACAGGUGGUCAGGUCGAGUAGACCAAGGCGCUUGAGAGAACUCUGCUGAAGGAACUAGGCAAAAUGGUACCGUAACUUCGGGAGAAGGUACGCUGUUGUUGGUGAUGGAACUCGCUUCCUGAGCUGACGACAGCCGCAGAAACCAGGCCGCUGCAACUGUUUAUUAAAAACAUAGCACUCUGCAAACACGAAAGUGGACGUAUAGGGUGUGAUGCCUGCCCGGUGCUGGAAGGUUAAUUGAUGGGGUUAGCGUAAGCGAAGCUCUUGAUCGAAGCCCCAGUAAACGGCGGCCGUAACUAUAACGGUCCUAAGGUAGCGAAAUUCCUUGUCGGGUAAGUUCCGACCUGCACGAAUGGCAUAAUGAUGGCGGCGCUGUCUCCAGCAGAGGCUCAGUGAAAUCGAAAUCGCUGUGAAGAUGCAGUGUACCCGCGGCUAGACGGAAAGACCCCGUGAACCUUUACUGCAGCUUGACACUGAACUUUGACCUUACUUGUGUAGGAUAGGUGGGAGGCUUUGAAGCUGGAACGCUAGUUCCAGUGGAGCCGUCCUUGAAAUACCACCCUGGUAAUGUUGAGGUUCUAACUCUGUCCCGUGAUCCGGGACGAGGACCGUGUCUGGUGGGUAGUUUGACUGGGGCGGUCUCCUCCUAAAGAGUAACGGAGGAGUACGAAGGUGCGCUCAGCGUGGUCGGAAAUCACGCGUAGAGUAUAAAGGCAAAAGCGCGCUUAACUGCGAGACCCACAAGUCGAGCAGGUACGAAAGUAGGUCUUAGUGAUCCGGUGGUUCUGUAUGGAAGGGCCAUCGCUCAACGGAUAAAAGGUACUCUGGGGAUAACAGGCUGAUACCGCCCAAGAGUUCAUAUCGACGGCGGUGUUUGGCACCUCGAUGUCGGCUCAUCUCAUCCUGGGGCUGAAGCAGGUCCCAAGGGUAUGGCUGUUCGCCAUUUAAAGAGGUACGCGAGCUGGGUUUAGAACGUCGUGAGACAGUUCGGUCCCUAUCUACCGUGGGCGCUGGAAAUUUGAGAGGAUCUGCUCCUAGUACGAGAGGACCAGAGUGGACGAACCUCUGGUGUACCGGUUGUGACGCCAGUCGCAUCGCCGGGUAGCUAUGUUCGGAAGGGAUAACCGCUGAAAGCAUCUAAGCGGGAAGCCUACCUCAAGAUAAGAUUUCCCUAGGACUUUAUGUCCUCUAAAGAGCCGUUCGAGACUAGGACGUUGAUAGGUUGGAUGUGGAAGCAUAGUGAUAUGUGAAGCUGACCAAUACUAAUUGCUCGUGAGGCUUGACUAUACAA